Molecule: transfer RNA, 73 nt
Filed under: Vicugna pacos (alpaca)
Lineage: Eukaryota; Metazoa; Chordata; Mammalia; Artiodactyla; Camelidae
Description: tRNA-Ala (AGC) (tRNA-Ala-AGC-832-1)
Rfam family: tRNA
About the family: Transfer RNA (tRNA) molecules are approximately 80 nucleotides in length.
Source: RNAcentral
GGAGGGUAUAGCUCAGUGGUAGAGUAUCUGCUUAGCAUGUACAAGAUCCUGGGUUCAAUCCCCAGUACCUCCA